GUGCUUGGUAAUGUGAAGCAAAACACACAGCGUUCCGGGACUCGCUGAUUAAAACCGCAGCGCAGUGGGUGCCAACACAAGCAUUGCCCUAGGUGUGCUCGUGGCUGCGCCUGGCCUAGAGUUCGAGGUGGCUGUAGAACAGGAACAGUACAGACGCGUAUUACAGCCUUUCAGCCCUUGGUGACUCGGGCCAUUAGUUGCAGUGCCAAAUAGAACGAUUUUUGUCUGCUAGGACACUGGUACUGGCUAAGCGGUGAAAGUUUUGUAAGGACAUCGUGAAGGUUGGAGGUGAUUUCUUUCCAAACAUAUGGAAAAGAAAUUGGAGUGUGUAUCCUGGAUCUUUGCCAUUCAUUAGACAUGCAAAAAUGUUGGCAGUUGAGGGUGAGCUGAAGCAGGGGUGGGUAAAGCAAAACAUACCUGAAGUCUGCCUUUGAGCAGAUUUGCAGCUCCUAAAGUCUUCUGUGAUUUGGCCAGUCUGGAGUACUCAAAACCUUUCGCUUCAGUAAAAAAACAAAAGCUUCAACUCUGUUCUCUAAUUCUGUAGUAGGUGUCAGUGACAGUCUCAUGUGUGAAGAAUAAAGUCUCCGCUGUGUGCCA
RNAcentral lists this long non-coding RNA (597 nucleotides) under Apteryx rowi (Okarito brown kiwi). Its description in RNAcentral is "lncRNA (ENSARWG00000016675.1)". Lineage: Eukaryota; Metazoa; Chordata; Aves; Apterygiformes; Apterygidae. The record is from RNAcentral.